UGGGGAAUUUUGGACAAUGGGCGCAAGCCUGAUCCAGCCAUGCCGCGUGCGGGAAGAAGGCCUUCGGGUUGUAAACCGCUUUUGUCAGGGAAGAAAUCUUCUGAGUUAAUACCUCGGGAGGAUGACGGUACCUGAAGAAUAAGCACCGGCUAACUACGUGCCAGCAGCCGCGGUAAUACGUAGGGUGCAAGCGUUAAUCGGAAUUACUGGGCGUAAAGCGUGCGCAGGCGGUUUUGUAAGACAGAGGUGAAAUCCCCGGGCUCAACCUGGGAACUGCCUUUGUGACUGCAAGGCUUGAGUGCGGCAGAGGGGGAUGGAAUUCCGCGUGUAGCAGUGAAAUGCAGUAGAUAUGCGGAGGAACACCGAUGGCGAAGGCAAUCCCCUGGGCCUGCACUGACGCUCAUGCACGAAAGCGUGGGGAGCAAACAGGAUUAGAUACCCUGGUAGUCCACGCCCUAAAACGAUGUCAACUGGUUGUUGGGAAGGUUCCUUCUCAGUAACGUAGCUAACGCGUGAAGUUGACCGCCUGGGGAGUACGGCCGCAAGGUUGAAACUCAAAUGAAUUGACGGGGUCAUAGCUGUUUCC
Molecule: ribosomal RNA, 586 nt
Filed under: uncultured bacterium
Lineage: Bacteria
Description: partial 16S ribosomal RNA
Rfam family: Bacterial small subunit ribosomal RNA
Source: RNAcentral